Mycena amicta is the source of this 100-nucleotide non-coding RNA. The record is from the annotation of a GenBank genome assembly. Lineage: Eukaryota; Fungi; Basidiomycota; Agaricomycetes; Agaricales; Mycenaceae.
GGUCUUAUGGCGUAGUGGUUAUCGCGUUUGCCUUACAUCUCCGAUAGAAAUCGGGAAUCGAUGUCGCAAAAGGUCGCCAGUUCGACCCUGGCUGGGAUCA